UACGGAGGGUGCGAGCGUUGUUCGGAAUCAUUGGGCGUAAAGGGCGUGUAGGUGGUCUGCUAAGUCAUGUGUGAAAGCCCUCAGCUCAACUGGGGAAGUGCGCAUGAAACUGACAGGCUAGAGUACCGAAGAGGAAGGUGGAAUUCCCGGUGUAGCAGUGAAAUGCGUAGAUAUCGGGAGGAACACCGGUGGCGAAGGCGGCCUUCUGGUCGGAUACUGACGCUAAAACGCGAAAGCGUGGGGAGCAAACAGGAUUAGAUACCCUGGUAGUCCACGCUGUAAACGAUGGGCACUAGGUGUCCGGGGUAUUGACCCCCUGGGUGCCGCAGCUAACGCAUUAAGUGCCCCGCCUGGGGAGUACGGUCGCAAGAUUAAA
This 376-nucleotide ribosomal RNA is filed under the name uncultured bacterium. RNAcentral describes it as "bacterial SSU rRNA". It matches the Rfam family "Bacterial small subunit ribosomal RNA", at positions 524 to 898 of the family's 1533-position model. The record is from RNAcentral.